AGCUCCAAUAGCGUAUAUUAAAGUUGUUGCAGUUAAAAAGCUCGUAGUUGGAUUUGUGGCGUACGGUGGGUUCCGGGCACUUGUUGUCUGAGUAACUUGCUGUUGCCAUCCUUGGGUGGAACCUGUGUGGCAUUAGGUUGUCGUGCAGGGGAUGCCCAUCAUUUACUGUGAAAAAAUUAGAGUGUUCAAAGCAGGCAUGAAGUGUGCCGGAAUACAUGAGCAUGGAAUAAUGGAACAGGACUACGGUCACUGCACUUUUCCGUUGGUUUCGGAGGGCCGAAGUAAUGAUUAAGAGGGACAGUUGGGGGCAUCCGUAUUUCGCAGUCAGAGGUGAAAUUCUUGGAUCUGCGAAAGACGAACGAGUGCGAAAGCAUUUGCCAAGAGUGUUUUCAUUAAUCAA
RNAcentral lists this ribosomal RNA (400 nucleotides) under phytoplankton environmental sample. Its description in RNAcentral is "partial small subunit ribosomal RNA". It matches the Rfam family "Eukaryotic small subunit ribosomal RNA", at positions 587 to 980 of the family's 1831-position model. The record is from RNAcentral.